UACGGAGGGAGCUAGCGUUGUUCGGAAUUACUGGGCGUAAAGCGCACGUAGGCGGUUUUUUAAGUCAGAGGUGAAAGCCCGGGGCUCACCCCCGGAAUAGCCUUUGAAACUGGAAAACUUGAAUCUUGGAGAGGUCAGUGGAAUUCCGAGUGUAGAGGUGAAAUUCGUAGAUAUUCGGAAGAACACCAGUGGCGAAGGCGACUGACUGGACAAGUAUUGACGCUGAGGUGCGAAAGCGUGGGGAGCAAACAGG
RNAcentral lists this ribosomal RNA (253 nucleotides) under uncultured bacterium. RNAcentral describes it as "partial 16S ribosomal RNA". It matches the Rfam family "Bacterial small subunit ribosomal RNA", at positions 524 to 776 of the family's 1533-position model. The record is from RNAcentral.